RNAcentral lists this ribosomal RNA (502 nucleotides) under uncultured bacterium. RNAcentral's name for it is "partial 16S ribosomal RNA". It matches the Rfam family "Bacterial small subunit ribosomal RNA", at positions 609 to 1108 of the family's 1533-position model. The record is from RNAcentral.
UUAACUGUGGGCCUGCCGGCCAUAUCCGGCAGACUGGAAUACUGCCAGGGAAACUGGAAUUCCUGGUGUAACCGUGGAAUGCCCCAAUUUCCAGAAGAACCCCCGUGGCCAAAGGCGGUCCCCUGGCCAUUACUUACCCCUAAGAACCAAAGCCUGGGGAACCAACCAGAAUAAAUUCCCCGGUAAUCCCCCCCCUAAACCGUGGGUUCCAAGUUUUGGUUUCCUUUCCUUGGAUUCCUUGCCUAACCUACCCCUUUAAUUCCCCCCCCGGGGAAUUCCGGCCCCAAGGUUAAACUUCAAAGAAUUUAACGGGGCCCCCCCCAACCGCCGAACCUGGUGUUUUAUUUCACCCCACCCCAAAAAACCUUACUUGGUUUUAACUUCCCCAGAACCCUUCUAAAAAUAGCCUUUCCCUUGUGCCCGGUGUGCAGUUGUUGCAUGCUUGCCUCCACUUCUGGUCUUGAAAUGUUGGUUUAAUUCCCCCACCAACCCCACCCCUUGU